UCCUUUCUCCUACACUCCCUGACCAGUCCGGCCUCCCCCGGACUCCCUCUAUGAACGCUGCCCCACGCCUUGACCAAGACACCGCACGACGGAGCUCCUCACCGCCUUUGCCCCACGCUUGUUCAUCCUCCACCGGCGUGGCCUCCUCCACACUACCGCACCUCGCGCGCUCGCCUUGGUAGCAGCUUAAUCCGACCUCUGUGCAGCCGCCGCCAUGGAUGCUUCCCCAGGGCGAUGUCCAAUGCCGAUUCUGAGGCCCCUUGCAUCACAUGAUGACAUCAGUUUCUGGAGGAGUUUCUGCAGGAGAAAUAGCAACUUGGGCCUGUCCUAUAGCUAAUGCUAUCUAUCUGAGGCAGGAUGUUGAAUCAAGGCAACAUGAGCAAGCAUCCCUGCGUGGAGCCAUCAAGUUGCAUCUUCUGCACUCAUCUCUAUCAAGGUGUUCAUCUGAUUGGUGGUAUGAAGGAAUGUGGUGCAGGCUAGGAGGAUAAGGUUGGUAGCCAUAAUUGAUGAUCUCUUGCAAGCAUGUCGGGCAAAAAUAAGUAAGCCACCAAACCUGAAUCAGGAUUGGAACUGGAGUGUUAUGAUGGGUUUCUUAGAUGUAAGCCUGACCUACAGUCCUUCUCAUGUUCACUCCAUUUUACUGAUUCCAUAUUCAAACGUCCUGGCUUGGGGAUGGGGCACAUACAUGUCCUCCUCUAAACCCUUAUUCCUAUGUUUUCUGGUGAAUUCUGUGGCAUUUGUUGUGAUUAGAGAUGGUAUUCUUGGUCAUGGAAGGCGGAAAUACCCAAUGAAGGAAAUGUCUUUUCUUAAUUGAGUU
This is a long non-coding RNA of Setaria italica (foxtail millet), 817 nucleotides long. RefSeq lists it as uncharacterized. The record is from RefSeq and is a predicted model, not a curated record. NCBI's taxonomy places the organism in Eukaryota, Viridiplantae, Streptophyta, Magnoliopsida, Poales, Poaceae. The transcript has 4 exons.